This 497-nucleotide ribosomal RNA is filed under the name uncultured bacterium. RNAcentral describes it as "partial 16S ribosomal RNA". It matches the Rfam family "Bacterial small subunit ribosomal RNA", at positions 28 to 507 of the family's 1533-position model. The record is from RNAcentral.
GAUGAACGCUGGCGGCGUGCCUAAUACAUGCAAGUCGAGCGAACGGACGAGAAGCUUGCUUCUCUGAUGUUAGCGGCGGACGGGUGAGUAACACGUGGAUAACCUACCUAUAAGACUGGGAUAACUUCGGGAAACCGUAGCUAAUACCGGAUAAUAUUUUGAACCGCAUGGUUCAAAAGUGAAAGACGGUCUUGCUGUCACUUAUAGAUGGAUCCGCGCUGCAUUAGCUAGUUGGUAAGGUAACGGCUUACCAAGGCAACGAUGCAUAGCCGACCUGAGAGGGUGAUCGGCCACACUGGAACUCAGACACGGUCCAGACUCCUACGGGAGGCAGCAGUAGGGAAUCUUCCGCAAUGGGCGAAAGCCUGACGGAGCAACGCCGCGUGAGUGAUGAAGGUCUUCGGAUCGUAAAACUCUGUUAUUAGGGAAGAACAUAUGUGUAAGUAACUGUGCACAUCUUGACGGUACCUAAUCAGAAAGCCACGGCUAACUACGUG